UACGUAGGGGGCAAGCGUUGUCCGGAAUUAUUGGGCGUAAAGCGCGCGCAGGCGGCUGUUUAAGUCUGGUGUAUAAACCUGAGGCUCAACCUCGGGACGCAUUGGAAACUGGACGGCUUGAGUGCAGAAGAGGAGAGUGGAAUUCCACGUGUAGCGGUGAAAUGCGUAGAGAUGUGGAGGAACACCAGUGGCGAAGGCGACUCUCUGGUCUGUAACUGACGCUGAGGCGCGAAAGCGUGGGGAGCAAACAGG
Molecule: ribosomal RNA, 252 nt
Filed under: uncultured bacterium
Lineage: Bacteria
Description: partial 16S ribosomal RNA
Rfam family: Bacterial small subunit ribosomal RNA
Source: RNAcentral